Long non-coding RNA from Priapulus caudatus, 994 nucleotides. RefSeq lists it as uncharacterized. The transcript has 3 exons. Lineage: Eukaryota; Metazoa; Priapulida; Priapulimorpha; Priapulimorphida; Priapulidae. The record is from RefSeq and is a predicted model, not a curated record.
UAUUUGUAAUUUUCAGGUAACCCCAGAACACUCUACAAUUCAGUACAUCAGCAGAUAUUCAGUCUGCCCAAUGAGUAUCUUCUAUAUCCUGCUCAUGACUACACAGGUCAAACAGUAACCUCCGUAGAAGAAGAACGUACACAUAAUAAAAGAUUGACAAAGACGGUUGAGCAGUUCGAGCAGAUAAUGGCAAACCUAGGGCUGCCAUACCCUGCGCAGAUAGAUCGUGCAUUACCACUAAACCUGGUGUGUGGCCUUCAGGAACUUCUAUCGGUGAAAGACCAAACCGAACAGCAGUCAAAAACCUAAGUUGAUAGAAUGAAGAUGUUUAAACCUUUGCGAACCCUUUUCCUGCACUUCUGUUUUUAUAUGAUGGUAUAUUAAUUUAUACCUAGUGUGUUUGAUUUCUAGCAGUAAUACUGCUUAUUUAUUGAAUGCUGUGAUUAGCAUCGACGUUAUGUCUGUUAUUUGUCGAAAACAUGCAUUUUAGACUAUCUUGUUGGCAGGAAUAUCUCACGAAUGCAAACGCUUGAGAAAAUGCACGUCUGGAAAAUAGUUAUGAAAACUAAAUUUGCCAGUAAAAAAUUUGACGCACCUAGGUAAUUGAUGAAAGCAAUGUUUUAAAACGUGCUGUACACGGUACAGUGGUCCUCGUUGGAAAUGAUUUUUAGUGAUCUUUACUAGUCUUGUGUGUAAAACGCCAUCCUCAUUAUAUUAUAACAAUUGUGUUGGGUACAGGUUAUUGGAUUAAUGUUAAUAUUUUAGGCAGAGCUCAAGAACGAAGUAGGUUUUUUACUAUAUACGUUGAUGGCUGAGUGCACUGAACUACAUUUCCAAAUAUUGUGAUAUGAAUGUAGUGUUUGCAAUUAUAGCAUGCUUUAAUGUUUUAGCUAUUAACCCAUACCUAGCCAUUGACGCCAUACUUAAACCGUGUAUUAUAAAUGUACGUAUACUCUUAAAAGCAAUAAUAAAAUGAUAUAUGGAAACGGGUUUA